ACUCCUACGGGAGGCAGCAGUGGGGAAUAUUGCACAAUGGGCGCAAGCCUGAUGCAGCAACGCCGUGUGAGUGAAGAAGGUUUUCGGUAUCGUAAAACUACUGUCCUAAGGGAAGAAACAAAUAGACGGUACCUUAGGAGGAAGCCCCGGCUAACUACGUGCCAGCAGCCGCGGUAAUACGUAGGGGCGAAGCGUUAUCCGGAAUCACUGGGGCGUAAAGGGUGCGUAGGCGGCUUAGCAAGCCAGGGGUGAAAGGCAUUGGCUCAACCAAUGUAAGCCUUUGGAACUGUUAAGCUUGAGUGCAGGAGAGGUAAGUGGAAUUCCUAGUGUAGAGGUGAAAUUCGUAGAUAUUAGGAGGAACACCAGUGGCGAAGGCGACUUACUGGACUGUAACUGACGCUGAUGCACGAAAAGCGUGGGUAGCGAACAGGAUUAGAUACCCUGGUAGACUGUCA
This 455-nucleotide ribosomal RNA is filed under the name uncultured bacterium. RNAcentral's name for it is "bacterial SSU rRNA". It matches the Rfam family "Bacterial small subunit ribosomal RNA", at positions 335 to 802 of the family's 1533-position model. The record is from RNAcentral.